GAUGAAGAACGUAGCGAAAUGCGAUAAGUAAUGUGAAUUGCAGAAUUCAGUGAAUCAUCGAAUCUUUGAACGCACAUUGCGCCCGCCAGCAUUCUGGCGGGCGUGCCUGUUCGAGCGUCAUUUCAACCCUCAAGCUCUGCUUGGUGUUGGGGCCCUACGGUUGACGUAGGCCCUUAAAGGUAGUGGCGGACCCUCUCGGAGCCUCCUUUGCGUAGUAACUAACGUCUCGCAUUGGGAUUCGGAGGGACUCUUGCCGUAAAACCCCCAAAUUUUCUAAUGGUUGACCUCGGAUCAGGUAGGAAUACCCGCUGAACUUAAGCAUAUCAAUAAGCGGAGGA
Molecule: unclassified non-coding RNA, 338 nt
Filed under: soil metagenome
Description: partial contains 5.8S ribosomal RNA, internal transcribed spacer 2, and large subunit ribosomal RNA
Rfam family: 5.8S ribosomal RNA (bases 1-120)
Source: RNAcentral